GCGCGGCGGUCGGCGCGGGGCGCGAGAUGAGGAAAUCGAGGCCGCAGAGAAGGGACUUACCCAAACUUAAGCUUUGUGUGGGCCUUGGAGCUAGGCUGAAGGAGAACCUGGAGUCUCACUGGGGCAAGUUCCUUCAACUUUCAGGGAUUCAAAUGACCUCACUUGUAGUGCGGGGCGUCCGGACCACCCCUCAGGAAUUGGGAUCAGGGCAAGAAUUACUAACUAAGCAAGCACCCCGCCUGGGAGGGAGUGUCCAGGACUGGUGUGGGCCCCUGUCUGUACCAGAGCGGAGGCCCGGGGCACGGUGGGAUUAAUUUCCAUGGGUGCAGAGAGGGGAGCCGUGUACGGAGUCAUUCUAGGCUUAGGGGAGACAGAGCAGUUAGCUUUCCCCAAACCUCUGUGCCUUCCUUUUCUUCCUGGAUUCCUACCUGGGGGUGGAGGUGGAGGCGGGGGUACCGCUGCCUUUCUCAAAGCAUGUCUAGUCCAGCAGUGAGCCCUCCUGGGCGUCUUGGCGCCCCAGUUGCUUCCUGGACGUAUUGGGGUUUCUCUGGGAGAAGGGUCUUGCCUGCAGUACCCUGGGCCUCCUGAAGAGGCCUCUGGUUGCGCUGCCUGAUUCAGGGACCCAGAGCCACGACUCGCCGAGAGGAGCUCCGGCGGCGUGCGGCUGGGUUGCCUGAGGGGCUGGGGGCUGCCUGGUGGACUUGCACACAUGCUGGCUCCAUACUUGUCACUGUGGUGGACGCUCAGAGCUCUACAGGGCCAGCUGCCUGCCCCUGCCCCAAGUCCCCUGGGCUGGGGUUGGGAUGGGGGUGGCUUUAGGGCGUCCUUCUCCCCUCCUGGUGCUCGAGCUGGAUUUCCUCCCUGUUGGCUGGGGCCAUCCCUCGUGUCUCUGAUUGGCCUGUCCUGGCCUCAUCCCUCACCUGCUUGGGAUGCACUUGGACUCCGCUUUGCCCCGAGGGUUGCCUGGGCUGGCACCUAGCAAGGGGGCUCCUCCUGUAUGGCUGUACUUUGGGGUCUGUGUUCUAGGGAUUCUUGAACCUCUGGUCUGAAUGAACAGCCGAUUGAUACAGCUCUCCACUGCAUGCAGUUUAGGAACCUCAGUCUCAGGUGACCCCACAGACUACCAGCACCCCCAGCUCCACCCUUGCUCUUCCCCGAGCGUGUCCUAACCCUAGCACUUGUGCCACAUCUAUCCAUUGGCCAAAAUGAGAACUGGGUGGCAGUUCCAGGCCCUUCUUUCAUGCCGAGGCUCUCCUGGCACUGGUGCACGCACACCUAAAGGGAGGCCUUUUCAUCAGACUUGCUCAGCCAGGAGCUCGGAGCCUUCCAUGUCACAUCCUGUGCUGGGACCCCUGUGCCAGAGGCUCAGCAGCUGUUCACUUGUUCAGCCCACUGCACUUACUGAGUGCUGCCUAUGAGUCAGGAACUGGCCAAGUUCUUAGGAUGCAGCAGGGAAACAAACAGUAACUGGCAUGUCAAGAAUUAAAACAAGGUGAUGAGAUAAGAGAAUGACAAGGUAACCACAGAAGAUCUCUGAGGAGGUUGCACUUAAGAUGUGAUCCGAGUCCCACAAAGGAGCAUGCUGUCCUAAGAUCCGGUGGAAGAACUUUCCAGACAGAAGGAGCAGCUGAUGAAGGUGGGGGUGAUGAUGAAGCUGGUAGCACCAAAUAAAUGUGCUAGACCAGGGGUUGGCCAGCUUUUACUGUGAAGGGCUAGGCAGCAAACAUUUUAGGCUUUGCUGACCAUGUGGCUUUCUGUUUUUUUGUUUGUUUGAGAUGGAGUCUCACUCUGUCGCCCAGACUGGAGUGCGGUUGCACAAUCUCCACUCACUGCAACCUCUGCCUCCCGCGUUCAAAUGAUUCUCCUGCCUCAGCCUCCCCAGUAGCUGGGAUUAC
This 1895-nucleotide long non-coding RNA is filed under the name Pan troglodytes (chimpanzee). RNAcentral's name for it is "long non-coding RNA NONPTRT016891". Lineage: Eukaryota; Metazoa; Chordata; Mammalia; Primates; Hominidae. The record is from RNAcentral.